RNAcentral lists this ribosomal RNA (293 nucleotides) under uncultured fungus. RNAcentral describes it as "partial 18S ribosomal RNA". It matches the Rfam family "Eukaryotic small subunit ribosomal RNA", at positions 1387 to 1680 of the family's 1831-position model. Lineage: Eukaryota; Fungi. The record is from RNAcentral.
UUACUUUGGUUGGUCGCCGGCUUCUUAGAGAGACUAUCAACUCAAGUUGAUGGAAGUUUGAGGCAAUAACAGGUCUGUGAUGCCCUUAGAUGUUCUGGGCCGCACGCGCGCUACACUGACAGAGCCAACGAGUUCUUCACCUUGUUCGAAAGAAUUGGGUAAUCUUGUUAAACUCUGUCGUGCUGGGGAUAAAGCAUUGCAAUUAUUGCUUUUCAACGAGGAAUGCCUAGUAAGCGCGUGUCAUCAGCAUGCGUUGAUUACGUCCCUGACCUUUGUACACACCGCCCGUCGCU